GGAUCAGUGGUGUAGCGGUUAACAUGCCUCCCUGUCACGGAGGAGAUCGCGGGUUCGAUUCCCGUCUGAUCCG
RNAcentral lists this transfer RNA (73 nucleotides) under Candidatus Scatoplasma merdavium. RNAcentral describes it as "tRNA-Asp". It matches the Rfam family "tRNA". From Rfam's summary of the family: Transfer RNA (tRNA) molecules are approximately 80 nucleotides in length. Their secondary structure includes four short double-helical elements and three loops (D, anti-codon, and T loops). Lineage: Bacteria; Bacillati; Bacillota; Bacilli; Caryophanales. The record is from RNAcentral.